GAUGAAGAACGUAGUGAAAUGCGAAAAGUAAUGUGAAUUGCAGAAUUCAGUGAAUCAUCGAAUCUUUGAACGCACAUUGCGCCCGCUGGUACUCCGGCGGGCACGCCUGUCCGAGCGUCAUUUCAACCCUCAAGCCCCCCUUCGGGAUGGGCCUGGUGUUGGGGCUCGGCCGCCAUCUCCGGCGGCCGUCCCCUAAAUACAGUGGCGGUCACGUCGCGACUCCUUUGCGUAGUAGAAACACCUCGCUCCGGAUAGCAACGCGGUCCACGCCGUAAAAUCCCCAAUUUUCAAUGGUUGACCUCGGAUCAGGUGGGAAUACCCGCUGAACUUAAGCAUAUCAAUAAGCGGAGGA
Molecule: unclassified non-coding RNA, 352 nt
Filed under: soil metagenome
Description: partial contains 5.8S ribosomal RNA, internal transcribed spacer 2, and large subunit ribosomal RNA
Rfam family: 5.8S ribosomal RNA (bases 1-120)
Source: RNAcentral